RNAcentral lists this long non-coding RNA (306 nucleotides) under Marmota monax (woodchuck). Lineage: Eukaryota; Metazoa; Chordata; Mammalia; Rodentia; Sciuridae. The record is from RNAcentral.
CGGAGCUUUCCCGGCCCUCUCCUGAUGAGAGAACCCGUCCGUGUGGGGGUGUGACUGACCACUGACCCCGGGGGCCCAAUCACUGACCCUGACCUUGGAGUGCAGUCCCCCCUCAACCUUCAUUGGAUGGAAUUCUCCCCUGAAUUUCUUGUUCCCCAAUAAAAGGCUACUCCCUGGCGUGUUCACUCUCUCUCUCUCCUGCUAGCCCUGAGUAAUCCUUGCUGCCCUGCUGGGCGGUUAGAGGUUGGAGCCAGAGAGGGGAGCCGUCUCGGACCUGGCAAUAGAAAUAAGGUAACUGAGUCUGUG